GACGAACGCUGGCGGCGUGCUUAACACAUGCAAGUCGAACGAUGAUGCUCCAGCUUGCUGGGGUGGAUUAGUGGCGAACGGGUGAGUAACACGUGAGUAACCUGCCCCCUUCUUCGGGAUAAGCUUGGGAAACUGGGUCUAAUACUGGAUAUUCUGCAAUUGUCGCAUGGAGGUUGUGGGAAAGAUUUUUUGGUGGGGGAUGGGCUCGCGGCCUAUCAGCUUGUUGGUGGGGUGAUGGCCUACCAAGGCGUCGACGGGUAGCCGGCCUGAGAGGGUGACCGGCCACACUGGGACUGAGAUACGGCCCAGACUCCUACGGGAGGCAGCAGUGGGGAAUAUUGCACAAUGGGCGCAAGCUUGAUGCAGCGACGCCGCGUGAGGGAUGACGGCUUUCGGGUUGUAAACCUCUUUCGAUGGGGAACAAGGCCAUAUUUUUGUGUGGUUGAGGGUACCUGUAUAAGAAGCGCCGGCUAACUACGUG
This 481-nucleotide ribosomal RNA is filed under the name uncultured bacterium. RNAcentral describes it as "partial 16S ribosomal RNA". It matches the Rfam family "Bacterial small subunit ribosomal RNA", at positions 28 to 507 of the family's 1533-position model. The record is from RNAcentral.